UACGAAGGGGGCUAGCGUUGUUCGGAAUCACUGGGCGUAAAGCGCUCGUAGGCGGAUCUUUAAGUCAGGGGUGAAAUCCCGAGGCUCAACCUCGGAACUGCCUUUGAUACUGGGGAUCUCGAGUCCGGGAGAGGUGAGUGGAACUGCGAGUGUAGAGGUGAAAUUCGUAGAUAUUCGCAAGAACACCAGUGGCGAAGGCGGCUCACUGGCCCGGUACUGACGCUGAGGAGCGAAAAGCGUGGGGAGCAAACAGG
This 254-nucleotide ribosomal RNA is filed under the name uncultured bacterium. RNAcentral describes it as "partial 16S ribosomal RNA". It matches the Rfam family "Bacterial small subunit ribosomal RNA", at positions 524 to 776 of the family's 1533-position model. The record is from RNAcentral.